AUGAAAAUACUGAGUUGGAACUGCCGGGGGUUAGGGAAACCCCCGGCAGUUAGAGCGCUCCUGGAGCUUCAGGGGCGCGUAAGACCUGAUGUGAUUUUUCUGUCUGAGUCACAUCUGACUGUUGCUAGGGUAGAGAAAAUGAAGAGAAAGUUGUCCUUUGAUGAGAUGAUAAUGUGGGAAAGUGAUGGCAGAAGUGGUGGUUUGGUACUCUUCUGGCAGAAUGGUUUAAACGUGACAUCAAAGGAGGUUCACUCAAAUUUCUUGGAUAUCCGAAUUGACGAAAACACAGUGACUCGGGAUGGCGGAUCACUAGUCUAUACGAAAAACAAGCGGUGA
RNAcentral lists this ribosomal RNA (336 nucleotides) under Triticum aestivum (bread wheat). Its description in RNAcentral is "partial small subunit ribosomal RNA". The record is from RNAcentral. Lineage: Eukaryota; Viridiplantae; Streptophyta; Magnoliopsida; Poales; Poaceae.